UUCUAUUUAAAUAAUAUCCACUAGAGAAAAAGUGGGGGAAAGAGCCCCAGGUUUGGUAGGGAGAACGUGCUACAAUGUUUCCCCACUCUUUAUAUAAAUAGGACCAAAAAGUUUACCAAACAAUCAACUUUAUAUUUCCUAAAGCCUUGAGAAAAUUUGGAUUAUGUGUUUCC
Long non-coding RNA from Aethalodelphis obliquidens (Pacific white-sided dolphin), 173 nucleotides. RefSeq lists it as uncharacterized. NCBI's taxonomy places the organism in Eukaryota, Metazoa, Chordata, Mammalia, Artiodactyla, Delphinidae. The record is from RefSeq and is a predicted model, not a curated record. The transcript has 3 exons.